RNAcentral lists this ribosomal RNA (460 nucleotides) under uncultured bacterium. RNAcentral's name for it is "partial 16S ribosomal RNA". It matches the Rfam family "Bacterial small subunit ribosomal RNA", at positions 338 to 795 of the family's 1533-position model. The record is from RNAcentral.
CCUACGGGGGGCAGCAGUGAGGAAUAUUGGUCAAUGGACGAGAGUCUGAACCAGCCAAGUAGCGUGAAGGAUGACUGCCCUAUGGGUUGUAAACUUCUUUUAUAUGGGAAUAAAACGUUCCACGUGUGGGAUUUUGUAUGUACCAUAUGAAUAAGGAUCGGCUAACUCCGUGCCAGCAGCCGCGGUAAUACGGAGGAUCCGAGCGUUAUCCGGAUUUAUUGGGUUUAAAGGGAGCGUAGGUGGAUUGUUAAGUCAGUUGUGAAAGUUUGCGGCUCAACCGUAAAAUUGCAGUUGAAACUGACAGUCUUGAGUACAGUAGAGGUGGGCGGAAUUCGUGGUGUAGCGGUGAAAUGCUUAGAUAUCACGAAGAACUCCGAUUGCGAAGGCAGUUCACUGGACUGCAACUGACACUGAGGCUCGAAAGUGUGGGUAUCAAACAGGAUUAGAUACCCUAGUAGUC